GACGAACGCUGGCGGCGUGCCUAAUACAUGCAAGUAGAACGCACAGUUUAUACCGUAGCUUGCUACACCAUAGACUGUGAGUUGCGAACGGGUGAGUAACGCGUAGGUAACCUGCCUGGUAGCGGGGGAUAACUAUUGGAAACGAUAGCUAAUACCGCAUAAUAUUAAUUAUUGCAUGAUAAUUAAUUGAAAGGUGCAAUUGCACCACUACCAGAUGGACCUGCGUUGUAUUAGCUAGUAGGUGAGGUAACGGCUCACCUAGGCGACGAUACAUAGCCGACCUGCAAGGGUGGGCGGCCACACUGGGACUGGGACACGGCCCAGACUCCUACGGGAGGCAGCAGUAGGGAAUCUUCGGCAAUGGGCGAAAGUCUGACCGAGCAACGCCGCGUGAGUGAAGAAGGUUUUCGGGUCGUGAAGCUCUGUUGUAAGAGAAGAACGGGUGUGAGAGUGGAAAGUUCACACUGUGACGGUAUCUGACCAGAAAGGGACGGCUAACUACGUG
RNAcentral lists this ribosomal RNA (505 nucleotides) under uncultured bacterium. RNAcentral's name for it is "partial 16S ribosomal RNA". It matches the Rfam family "Bacterial small subunit ribosomal RNA", at positions 28 to 507 of the family's 1533-position model. The record is from RNAcentral.